GUGAAAUAGAGUAUCCCUGAAAUUUUUACAGUAUUCAAAUUAAUAUUUCUAACAAGAUGAGGUCCAUAACUAAAAUAAAUGAUCGAAUUCCCUCUGAUUAUACAAAAAGGGAAAUAUAAAUGUAUUUAUGUUUCUAUUCUGUUCAAAGAAUUAGAAUUAAAACCACAAAAAGUUUCCUCAUAUCAAAGAAAUUAUUGACUUCUACAGUAUAAAUCUAAUAGAAUUGAGUGCAAGUCAUUUUCACAAGUGUGAAGAUGAAAUUAACCUAUAUGCUGUAGAAUUAAUUUUCUGAAGAAUUCUUCUUUAUUUGGUAAAUAAAAAAACAGGGUAGUUUUUAUCUUUUAUCAUAUAGACAAAAAUGCAUGUUUCUUAAAAUGAAAUUAUAAAGAAAAAGAAUUGUUUGCACUUCAUAUCAGACCAUAGCUACUAUCACCAGUAAGUUUUAUAAGGUUGUUUAAAGCAGAGUUGAUUAUAUGUCAAUUGUCUUAUUAGGGCAUUUAUCUAUAAUAAACUGAAGUAACAAAAA
This 526-nucleotide long non-coding RNA is filed under the name Mytilus galloprovincialis (Mediterranean mussel). The record is from RNAcentral. Lineage: Eukaryota; Metazoa; Mollusca; Bivalvia; Mytilida; Mytilidae.